RNAcentral lists this long non-coding RNA (7469 nucleotides) under Ananas comosus (pineapple). RNAcentral describes it as "long non-coding RNA (ACOM_LNC012692)". Lineage: Eukaryota; Viridiplantae; Streptophyta; Magnoliopsida; Poales; Bromeliaceae. The record is from RNAcentral.
AUAGAUUUUUUUUUAAUAGAAAAAUACUAUAUUAUAUUAGUAGGGUUACUAUACUCUUAUAAGUAUAGAAUUAAUCCUUCGUACUCAUAAGUUGUUUUCAAUGAUAGAACUUCUGAAUCGACGAUACACUUCAUUAAAUAUGGUCUAUAAUAGUUAAAACUUCUAAAAAAUAAAUUUUAUAAUUUUUCACAAUCAUAAUAAUGUCCAUCAAACAUGCAUAAAAUAAACGGUCAAAAUCGAUCGACGUCCUAAAAAUGGAUGAUCGGAUUCUUCAAUUUAAGAUCGGAGUUAUUAAUUUUUAUCUAGAUAGUGAAUAGAAUUUUUCAUUAAAAAUUCAUCAAUUCCGAUUUUUUUGUACCGUUAAACUAAAAAGUAUUCCAUACCCGCCAUUAAAAAUUAUCAAUUUUAAGAUCUUUGGAUCGCAAAGUAUAUGAUAUUAAAAAUUAUAAAAUUUGAUUUUUAGAAAUUUUAAAUACUCUAGAUAAUUUUUAACGGUAUGCAUCAUUGAUUCGGAAGUUCUAUCAUUGAAAACGACAUAUGAGUAUGAAGGCAAUCGUACUCAUAAGAGUAUAGUAGGCGAACUCAUAUAUAUACAUAUAUUAUAAGCUCAAUUUGUAACUAGUGGAGGUAAUUAAUUAAUUACACCCACACUAGUAACUAUAAUAACGGUUCUUCAACGGCUACAUGUAGCAAGACUAAUUAAGACAUAUAGGUGUCAAUAACUUUUUCACUCAAAACAUCCAUUGAAAUAAUAUAAAUAUAAUAUAUACAUAUAUACAUAUGGUCAUAAAUAGAUUAGAUGUUUUUAAUAUGUUUUGGUGAAUAACUAAUUUUAACCAAAAAAAAGAGGGAAAAAAAAGUAAUCUUAUCAUGCUCAAUUAGCCUUUUGUUUCCUCUUUUAUUGAUUUUAACUCCCCAACUGCCUCUACCCCACACGACAACAACAACAACAAUAAUAAUAAUAAUAAUCAAUACAAUAGACUUGUUCUCUCCCUUUGGUGUUAUAUAUGCUCUCUCCUUUCUUAUUAUAUAUAUAUAGACACAGGUUCUUUGAGAAGCGCUUUCUUUGUAUGUGCAAAUUAAUAGCAACUCCUCCAAAGCUCAUCUAAUGGAGGAUUCAAUGAGCUCUUAUGUGAACAGUGCUCUCUACAGCAAAGAAGCCUCAGCAACAUCCUCUGAGGAGAGUGGAUGGACCAUGUACAUAGAGGAUUUUUUGGCUUCAGAGGAGAAGAGGAGAGGUGCUUUUGAUCUCUCUUCAUCAAGUGAGGCCUCCUCCAUGGUCUCUGAUGCUGCUUCAUCUGCUGCAUGGAAGCAGCAGCAGCAGCAGCAGCCGAGCGCGAGCGUCGACGCAGCGGCGGCGGUCGGAAAGAGGCUGAUCAGGUUGAAGAAGAAGAGGGUGUGGGGGAACUUAGAAGAAGACCCUUUGGAGGACACUGCUAGCUCUCCUGUAAAUAGCCCUAAGGUUUCAAUAAAAAUUAAAAUCCUUACCCUUUAGUUUUUUUUUUUUUUUUUCUUUUCUUUUCCUGGUAUUUAUCUUUGUUUUGAUUAAGUUUAUGCCCUUAUUAAUUUGGUAUUUAUGGUGUUUUAGGUUCUUUGUUGAUACUUUUUUUUGGUUUUGUUUGGGGAUUAACAGGUUAGUGGUUUGACCCACCCUGAUUUGAACACAAUGAAGAAGGAUGAGAAUAGGGAGAUUUCCAAGGUGAUAUCAUCUCAUAUCUUUUGAUCUUUAAUUUCUUGUUGGUUUAUUGCUCCUAUUUUUUGCCUACCGGUAAGAUUUGAAUAUAUAUAUAUAUAUAUAUAUAUAUAUGGGGGUUUUUAUGAGACAAAUAUUUUUCUCAUAUUUCUAACGUAUUUGCUAUUAGAGAACAGUAUUUUUAAUAUUUUAUAAUAUGUAUAAUUUUAUUAAUUUUCGCUCGCCAUAAUUUCAAGACAGAAAGUUGAAACAUAUAUAUAGGAGAAAAAAACUAAAUGAACCUAGAAAUUUGGUCGAAUUAAAUUGAACUCAGAAUCUCAAGUUUUGAUACGAUAAGACUUAUUAGAUCAGAAUCUCAAGUUUUGAUAUGAUAAGAAAAUGACUUAUUAGAGAGCAUAUAUUACUUAAUUUGGUGUAUUAUAUUAUAUUCAAUAGAUUUUGCUUCAUGUGUAACCAAACAAAAAAGUUCUCCUCUCUCUCUCUCUCUCUCUCUCUCUCUCUCUAUUGGUCUUGCAGGAGGUGGUGGCUGCAGGCUAUGGAAAUGAUUCUGUACUUGGCAGGGAAGUUGUAAGUCAGUUGGGUCUUGUUGAUAGGGCAAGUAAUGAUUGUACAGAAUUAAAGAAGAGGGGACUAUGUUUAGUUCCCAUGUCCAUGCUUGUAGAUUAUCUUGGGUAAAUCUUCAACUAUAAUUAAUUAAUAUAUGGAACUUUAUUCUCUCUCUCUCUCUCUCUCUAUUGUGUACAUGUGCAUGAGCAUAUAUGGUGGUUUGGUGUAGGUUACACCUUUCUUUGUGCUCAAAUGAUAAUUCCCCUCCCUUAAAGUAUCAUUAAAGCUAGUGUUAGUUGCAUAAUAUGUAAUUCCCAACUUGAUGUAUACGCCUUCUUAAUUAAUAUCAAAGUGGAGGACAUAAAGAGGGAAGGGUUGAUUAUUAAUAUCGAAAAGCCUACAAUAGUGUUUAAUUUAAAACUAUAGAAACAUAUAAAAUUUGACAGUUAAAACUAUAUAUAUAUAUAUCCCUAUUGCCGUGUAAUACGAUAUCUUUAAUACGAUGGUUAAGAUUUCACGGUUAAAGGUAUUUCUAUAUUGUUUUCUAUCAGAUCAAUUUAAUGGACGCGUGACAUGGUAUCAAAGCCAGCUUUAAACCCCUCUAUUCUUAGAGCUGGUCCAAAUUAGUUCAAUAUCUUUUUUCUUUUUUUUUAAGGUUCAGGGAUAUAUAUUAACUUCUCUACCUAUGGCCAAGCAUGAUUAAAAGGAAAUGAGAUAUCUAAAGGUAAAGGAAAUAAAGAAUAGUUUUAGAGAGAGGUUGAUUUAAAUGAAAUAGUUCUACUAGAACAAUUCUACAAUUUGGUCCAUAAUUAAUCAGCAAUAGGUCAAGAUGAUCUUGAAGAAAAGAUUAAUAAUUAGUGUCCUUAUAUCUUCAAAUCUUGAGGAUUCACACCUGAACAAGUCUUUUCAAUUGAUUCGAGGUCAUUUGUGCAAAAUCAGCUUUAAUUCUACUUGAGAAGUUAACAUUUAAUUAAGAGGCCGUUAAUUGCAUAAUAUAUAUACAAUGCAUAGGAUCUAGUAGCUAGGCAAUUCAAUCCAGUUGUUGUAGAUAAUCCAUAGGGGAAUUAAUUAGCACUAAGUAAACAAUUCAUUAGUGAGAAUAAAUCCCUUUUAGGAGAAUACUUAUUCAAGCUAUAUAUAUGUUACAAUAUCUUAAAUCCCAUGUCCAUUAAUUGUACUCUUCAAAUUAAGAACUCUUCAAAGGUAUCAAAGUCAUUAGCAUUAUUAGAAAAGCAAAUUAUUCCUUUGUUGGCUAAUGUAUGUAUAUAUAUAUAUAUAUAUAUAAAUAUAAAUAUAUGCUUAGUGGCACUGAGGACUAAUUAAUUAAGCUAGUCAAUCAUUAAUUUUAAACCUUAGUGUCUACAUAGCAACUGAAUGGAUUAGUUUAAAUAGAAUUCAAUUGUAUUAUUUAUGUACAUAAGAAAGGCUAUUGCAGGCCUUAAAGAGUAUACAACUACAUAUAGAAAAUAAUAGUGCAAAGACCUAUCCAUCUGCAUUGCCCUAAUUUGGUCUUAAGCUUGAGAGAAUUUGGACAAAAAACCCUUAAAAUGUGGCUUAAGAGCAACUUAUAGUAAUGGUGGUCUCUCACUAUUAUAAUGUAUAAAAUGAGUGGGAUUUGGAGAAUAAUUAAUCCAAGCUUGUUAUUUAAAUAACUGGUCAAGAGCUUAUUGUAUGAAGAUAAUUGUACAAGAUGACCACUAAAGAAUGCACUCAAAGAAUAAUACUACAUGUACAAACAAUAAGAAAAAUCAAGAAAGUGGAUGCAGUACUGCUUGAUCAAUGUAGUUAAAUUAGUUCAUUAAUUUAUCCUAUCUAGACGAUUCAUUUCUAAGUAAAUGGAUUGAGGUUUUAAUUUUAAAUGACGUAGAGGCUUAUUUAGUCUCGAACACAAAAUCUCCUGCUCUAGUGCUAUUUGAAAUCUCAGCUUGAUCGCAUAAUUCUACUCGUGUAGAAAUAUUGUUUUGAGUAGAGAAUUGUACGAAGAAGCAAGAAUUGCUUUUCGUUGUGUGUACGUAUAUAUCAACCACCUCUCAUUUUGUGGUUAUACUACUGUACUUGAUUACUCCAUGCUCAGUACAUUGUUGCGCUACCAUUAAGAAUCGGGUACAAAAAGAUAAGUUGGUUUGCGACUGGAAAUGUCAUUUCUAAACUACUAUAGCAAGACGGACUUAAGUGUGAGAGAACAGUACCCACCUAAUAGUUAGGUGCAACAAAUUGAAAAGAAAAAAAAAAUUUUUUUUUUUUUUUUCGGUGCUAAAUAGCGUUCGAAGCCAUCCAAAUCCCAUGGACCAGAAACCCCUCAAAUAGGAAAUCACUGUAUCCCAAUAUACUGACGUGACCGCCAAAGUAACUACGAAAUAAAAUAACAGAAUAAUAAAAUUUUAAAAAUUUUUUUAUUUUUUUGUUGAGGAUUUUGGACAUGCUGUUUUUUUUUUUUUUUUUUUUUUGAUAAAAAGGUAGCAUGCUACCCGCUUCAUUCAUAUAGUAGGUGAAUUAAGCAACAUGGGUGAGGCAUCAAGGCCUCAAGGUUGACGGAGGCAAAAAGAAAAAAAUAGGAGAACGGAUGUUGUUUGCAAAGUACAGCUGAUACCUCUAUACUGACUACGAGAUCUAACUAUAGCUCUACGGAUCAGGAAUACUCCACUGAGCUAUCAGAUGUUUGAUUUUGGACAUGUUGUUGAUGAGCAUAAUGGGGCAGACAUAGCUGUCACAGCAUGGGGAGAGGAGAUGAGAAGGGAGUAGCUGCACGUGCACAUGGAUCACUUGCAUGCCCACUCAUUGAAAUGCAUGCCCAAGACAUGGCAUUAGAAUUCUCAGAGCAUUCCCAUGAGGCUUGCCCUUUUGCUGUACUGAUGCCCUCCUAAUUACUUUGUCUCUGAUGUGAUGUUGGUGGGGACUCCUCUCUUGUGUGCAUUUCUCUUGUCAGGUCCCUGUGCUGAUCUCAUCAUCAUCAUAAUAAUUCACCAAUAACAAACCCAAUUUUUUUUUUUUUUUUUUAAGAGAAAGAUAGCACGUUAACUGAUUCGUUUAUUUCAUUUAGAAAUAAACUUAAUUAAAAAUAUGUAUCAACUAGAAUUUGAACUUGGGUCUCGAAUACCAACCACCAAACCCUUUGCCGCUUGCUCUAAGGACGGUCGGUCCCAAUCUCCAUUAGUAAGCACCUAAUAAGUUCCUAAAUAUGUUGUAGCUGUAAUAAUACCCUAACAUUUGUUAUAUGUAUGCAUAUAUAAGCAUGUACUAGUUUUUGCUAUCAUUGUUUAGUCAUUUGAAGCUUGUGUUAUGGCGGAAACCAGAUGAACUACUAUCAAUAUACAUUAAUAGGAGAGGUAACAAGUAGAAAUUUAAAGUAAAAAAAAAAAAAAAGAAGCAAUGUUUGAUAGAAUAGCAUGGUCAUGAAUAGGUGAACUAAUACAUUGCUCAUGAAAUAUUAGGUGAUAUGUGAAGUGAGAGGAAAUUAAAGAAGUUUAGGAAAAGGAAAAUGGAAGGUAGGAAGGAGACACAAGAAAUGGCUUCUAACCCAAUCAUUGCAGCAUCCUAUUGAUUGUAGAGAGUGAAAAAAAAAAAAAAAUCAGAACAAUCUACUCACAAGAAGAAAAUCUAUGGCUGUUAUUUAAUAAUUUUAUAUCAUCACUAGUACACAUAAAAUGCUUUUUAAUAGACCCCAAUAAUUUGAGAAUAUUUGUUAGGUUGCACACAAGGGAGUUGCAUACAGCUGGCUAUUUUGCUUAACUAUGCCUUAUAAAUGAAGGCAAAACUUGUAUUGAUUAGUGAUGUUAAGAUAAGGCAAAUAAAAUCUCAAAAUACACAACACCAUGAAAAACAACUUAGGAGUUAAAGAAUGUGUACCCUCAUGCUUCUGAACAUAAAUAACAUGAAAGAGAAGAUAUAUACUAAAAAGGCUUUUGCUUAUUUACCUCUUAAUACUAUCUCAAACAAACUUUGAAAGGAAAUAUAAAGUUGAUAAAUAAUUAGGGGCUUUUUCCUAACUUUAUAUCCUAUGGAUAGUCCAAUCAGCUAUCAAUUCCAACAAGAGUCCUACUAAAAAAAAGUGAAGCUACAAUAUUGCCAUGCCAGCUAGGGCAAGAACAUCAAUCAAAUCCACAAGUUAGUUGGGAACUAAUAUUGUCUCUACACAUGCAUUGACCUAUUUGCCCUUGAUGUUGGGAACAAUAUAUUUAUUUAUUCAAAAGAAGAAUUAUUGCACUGCAUCCUCAAACAAAAGCCUAAGGCCCGUUUGGUUAGGGGAUAAGCGGAGAUAACAAAAGUUAUUCUCGCUAUUCUGUCAAACGGAAUAAAAUUUGGCUAGGAUUUUUUAUUACGGUCAAAUCUUGCUAUUCCCGGUUAUCCCGGAAUAGCAAGAAAUUUGCUAUUCCACAAUUUUGGUGGAAUAGCACUAUUCUAAUGCUUAAUUUCAAACUUAAUUAAAAUUAUAAAUUAAAUUAAAACUAAAUUAUAUAAAUAUAAUAUGUUAUAUAUUAUAAUACAUUAUUUUUAUUAUAAAAUUAUUAAUUGUACUAUAUUAAUACAUAUUAUUUAUAUUUAAAUAUUAUAAUAAAAUUUAGAGUAAAUUAUAUUUAAAUAUUAUAAUAAAUUCUUUUUAUUAAAUUUAAAUUUAAGUAGAAUUUUUAAAAAAUUUAUAAAUUUAUUAUAAUAAAUUAUUUUUAUUAAUUGUUCCCACCCCUAUUUUUAUUUUAAAAAUUGAAAAAUUAAAAAUUUAAAUUUUUAAAAUUUAUAAUCUCAAAAUUAAAGUUUAUAAUUUUAAAUUUUAAAUUUUAAAUUUAAAUUUUGAUAUUUUAAUUUGAAAUUUAAAAUUUGAUAUUUUAUAUUUUUCAAAUUUAAAUUUGAUCUUAAAUUUAAAGUUUGAAAUUUAAAAUUUAAAAUUUUGAAUUUAAAAUUUGAGAUUUUAAAUUUCAAAAUUUGAAAUUUCAAAGUUAAAAUUUUAAAUUUAAAAAUAUAUAUUUAAAAAUUUAAAAAUUUAAAUUCAAAUAUAAUAAGAGGAUAAUAUGAUUAUUUUUUAUUUAUAAAACCCACUAUCUUUCUUAUUCUAUCUUACCUAACCAAACACUUUCUUUUUUAUUCCCAGAAAUAAUCAAAUUUUCAUCCAAACGCAAAAUUCAUCUAAUCCCCGCUUAUACCUCAAUUUAUAUCUAUCCUUAGAAUAGUCACUUUUUACUUAUCCUCGAACCAAACGAUACCUAAGAGCUUGUUUGGCCCCAGCUAUACAUGAAUU